AUACAGCUUUAAACAAUAGAUCUACUUUGCUCAUCCUUUUCAAAUUCUACAAGAUGGGGUCAUAGAUAUACCUUCUUCAUGCCAAUCUUCUAUAAGGGUUUUCCUGUGGACUAACUUUGGUCAAUGAAGAUACCCCUUUCUUGUUUGUCUUAAUUUGGAGUUUGAGAGAAGAUGUUAAUUCAUUCAUCAUAUAUACUUCAAACUCACCUUACAUGAGCUAAGUAAAAUCUUCAUAUAACUCUUCAUUAGUAGAACCAAAAAUGAUGUCAUCAAUGCAUACUUUGAGCAAAUAAGAUAUCACAAAUUCUUAUUUUUGAUGCAUAGAUUUAUCACUAUUACUUUCUAUCAAAAAGGUUACUUAAGCUUUUAUAUAUCAUGCUUUUGAUGCUUGUUCCAAAUCACAUAUUGCUUUAUCAUAUAUGUAAUGUGUAAUCUUUAAAUAUGGUGGUUAUUUUACAUAGAUCCCCUUUUUUUAAUGAAAUAACCACAUAGGAGUGAAUUCUACACAUUCAUUUGACAGAUUAUAAAGCUCAUGAGGCAAACAAAUGAUAAUGGUGAUCUUUACUUCUAAUCAUGCAAAAGUCUUAUCAAGAUCUAU
Molecule: long non-coding RNA, 598 nt
Filed under: Phoenix dactylifera (date palm)
Lineage: Eukaryota; Viridiplantae; Streptophyta; Magnoliopsida; Arecales; Arecaceae
Description: long non-coding RNA (PDAC_LNC020833)
Source: RNAcentral